This 239-nucleotide unclassified non-coding RNA is filed under the name Glomus sp. Its description in RNAcentral is "partial contains 5.8S ribosomal RNA and internal transcribed spacer 2". The stretch from base 1 to 65 matches the Rfam family "5.8S ribosomal RNA", at positions 84 to 154 of the family's 154-position model. Lineage: Eukaryota; Fungi; Glomeromycota; Glomeromycetes; Glomerales; Glomeraceae. The record is from RNAcentral.
GUGAAUCAUCAAAUUUUUGAACGCAAAUUGCACUCUCUUCGGAGAGUAUGCCUGUUUGAGGGUCAGCCUAAAAAAAAUCGACAUAGUUGCUGUUUCGCGGUGACGUUCGUCGGAAAUUGGUUCAUCUUAAACCUUUGGGUUUUAAGCGGCUUAAAAUUUUCUUUUCGAUUCAACGAACGUUUCUAAGAUUUAUUUCUUAACCUUUUAAGGGAAUCGAUCUUUAUUAGACUUGACCGUUG